Molecule: ribosomal RNA, 464 nt
Filed under: Vreelandella stevensii
Lineage: Bacteria; Pseudomonadati; Pseudomonadota; Gammaproteobacteria; Oceanospirillales; Halomonadaceae
Description: partial 16S ribosomal RNA
Rfam family: Bacterial small subunit ribosomal RNA
Source: RNAcentral
CCUAGGGGGGCAGCAGUGGGGAAUAUUGGACAAUGGGCGAAAGCCUGAUCCAGCCAUGCCGCGUGUGUGAAGAAGGCCUUCGGGUUGUAAAGCACUUUCAGUGGGGAAGAAAGCCUUGGGGCUAAUACCCUCGAGGAAGGACAUCACCCACAGAAGAAGCACCGGCUAACUCCGUGCCAGCAGCCGCGGUAAUACGGAGGGUGCGAGCGUUAAUCGGAAUUACUGGGCGUAAAGCGCGCGUAGGCGGUCUGAUAAGCCGGUUGUGAAAGCCCCGGGCUCAACCUGGGAACGGCAUCCGGAACUGUCAGGCUAGAGUGCAGGAGAGGAAGGUAGAAUUCCCGGUGUAGCGGUGAAAUGCGUAGAGAUCGGGAGGAAUACCAGUGGCGAAGGCGGCCUUCUGGACUGACACUGACGCUGAGGUGCGAAAGCGUGGGUAGCAAACAGGAUUAGAUACCCCGGUAGUC